Long non-coding RNA from Odocoileus virginianus texanus, 1064 nucleotides. RefSeq lists it as uncharacterized. The record is from RefSeq and is a predicted model, not a curated record. Lineage: Eukaryota; Metazoa; Chordata; Mammalia; Artiodactyla; Cervidae.
CCUGCGCGUGGUGGUGCCGUUCCCCAAAACGCGCCGAGGGUUCCCGGUGAAGACUCUGGUGCCUUAUUUCUGAUUUCCAAGUAAAAGGAAAUUAAAAAUUGCUUACUGAGCAGCAGUGUGGUUUGGGAGCAGGACCCUGGAGCCAGAAAUCCCAGCUCUGCCACGGGCCCGCUGUGUGACUCCCAGCAAGCUGCUUCAGGCUCCCUGUGCCAGCGUCCUCCGUCAAAGGGGACAAAACAUGAGAGAGGUCAUGUCGGUGCUGUGCCACGUGCAUCUGCAGCGACUGCUGGUCCCUCUUCGUCCCCAAAGGAGCUCUCAGGAUCUGGUAGAGGUCAGGCAUGGAUAUGCAGGCUGCCACCACGCGGUGAAGGUCGUGGGGGAGAGUGGCUUCAUAUGUGCUGCCGAGGAUGUCGGGCUUGAACUCGAGGCUGCAGGACAGAUAGCCCAUCUAAGGCUGCAGGACAGACAGACAGCCUGUCUGAGGUUGGAGCAGCGCUUAGUGAGAGGGUGGUGGAGCUGCACCAGCAUGCAGGGUGGAGGCUGGAUGGAAGAUGGACCUGGGGGCCAGAAAGAUUCUUCCACUUGUCAGCCUGCGAAAUUGCAAGAAUGUGGACUAUGGUGAAGGCUAUGAGGGUCGAGGUGAAGAUCUGGUCUGAGAAAGGCUUGGGAGGUGGAACUGGGUGACUGUGAGGUCAGGAAGGUGAAUACAGGGGUGAGGAAGUCACAUGGCCUCAGAGUUGUUCCCAGAGUCAGUGAGUAAAGCAGAAAGCAUCUAGGCAGAAUCACCCCCACGUGCCCAGCCAGUGUCUCCCAUGGAGCGAUGGGCCCACUGCCCAGCUCCUCCCGGGGCUGCCCCCCUGCCACUCCAGCCCCGAGAGCUCACGUUCAUACACCAGGGUCACACGAGGGACAGGGGUUCCCACGCUGUGCAUCUCAGGGACCCUCACACCCUCACAGACAAUUGAGGAUCCCAAAGAGUGAGAGUGUGUCGGGGGGGAGGCUCCCAUCUAUUUUCACGUGCUUCAGAAGUUAAAUGUGCUAUGUUUCUUAAAGAUUUUGUUUAU